Molecule: non-coding RNA, 266 nt
Organism: Lonchura striata (white-rumped munia)
Lineage: Eukaryota; Metazoa; Chordata; Aves; Passeriformes; Estrildidae
Source: RefSeq, a predicted model, not a curated record
CCUCAAGAGAUCUAAAGCUUGUUUUUUAAAAUGUCUGCCUGAAUGAGUUUAAUAAUAAGAGAAUUUAUUGAAUCUUCUGGCAAACUCCUUUGAUCCAUGUUGGAAGACUGGAUGCCACGAAGGGAAAGGGUUCUUGAAGGAAAAUGAUGCAGCCAAAUCAGAAAGUGGUUAUUAGGCAUCUAUAAUACAAGUGUGGAAUUCAGAUGGACACACUGACCAUUUUUUGAGUGUUGUUUGCAAGAUUGGGGACUUCUUUUUCGUGAUUU